This is a long non-coding RNA of Drosophila albomicans, 1060 nucleotides long. RefSeq lists it as uncharacterized. The record is from RefSeq and is a predicted model, not a curated record. The transcript is spliced from 3 exons. Lineage: Eukaryota; Metazoa; Arthropoda; Insecta; Diptera; Drosophilidae.
AUGUGCUCAGCUCAAGCUGAAAGCAUCUAUUUGGCUUUCAAAUUUUAAAACAAUUUUUUAUUUAAAAAAAUAUCACCAAAAUUUUUAAACCUUUUAUGAUUAUGCUAACGUUUUAAAUUAGCUAAUCACGCAGUCUCGGCGCUCAACACGCAUAUUUUUCGGCUUCAAAAUUAAAUGGAAAAAUUAUAAAGUGAAUAACUAUUGUUUUUAUUUGGGCUUUAAUCGAUUUCUUAAAAGAAAUGUCUGAAAAUAAUGAACAAAAUUCGUCUGGUGCUAAACGACUUGGAUCUAUUGCCAGUCAUUGCAGAACUCUGCUUGAGGAACUUGUCGUUUUCGUAUUAUUCUUCUCGCUCUCUGUGCUGUUCAUGUUGAGUUUGUUCUCUCUGCUGACUGGCCUUGGCGUGCGAAAACCAUUCGCAUACAGAGCAGCGCUUCCCAGCAAGUCCUGUAGUUGGCCAACGGAAUGGUGCCGCUUUUUCAACGAAUCCAAAAUGUCGCAGAGACAAUUCAUAUUGGAAACCCUAGACGGUCAACAGUCUAUGCCAAAGUAAUGGUACAUUUUAGAUUAUUUUCAGAAGCACAUAACUGUAAAAAGUAUCGCAUCAAUACCUUGUUCAAUUUCACCUCACUUGUCAAUAAGCACACCAUCAUCAUUUGUUCCAUAUAAGAGGGCGUCACUUUUUAAAGUUCCGAACUGUCGGGUCGAUCCUGAGGAGUUUGAAGAUAAAAAAUAUAUUAAAUAUAUGCUAUAUUUGCCACCGAGUAAAUGUCUCUCGUCAAGAUUGAGACAUAGUCCCGGGUCGCUUUAAACAUAUUCUACAAAUACAAAAAUCCACAACAAAAACAAUUUAUCUAUGCAGAUGAGCAGCAAGCAAAUCUCAAAUGGCUAUAAUCACAACAUAAAUCAUUGACGCCCAAUUCAUUAAUAUUCGUUUCGGUGGCACAAAGUGCAUCCCGAUUCAUAUCCAUAGACGUCUUCCAAGUUGCAAUAUAUAAACCCCCUACACAAAUACAUUGUUAUGUGGCUACUUCUAUGGUUUAAAUAAAAGUUUAAUUCGAA